This 288-nucleotide unclassified non-coding RNA is filed under the name Chaetomiaceae sp. RNAcentral's name for it is "partial contains 5.8S ribosomal RNA, internal transcribed spacer 2, and large subunit ribosomal RNA". The stretch from base 1 to 71 matches the Rfam family "5.8S ribosomal RNA", at positions 84 to 154 of the family's 154-position model. Lineage: Eukaryota; Fungi; Ascomycota; Sordariomycetes; Sordariales; Chaetomiaceae. The record is from RNAcentral.
GUGAGUCAUCGAAUCUUUGAACGCACAUUGCGCCCGCCAGUAUUCUGGCGGGCAUGCCUGUUCGAGCGUCAUUUCAACCAUCAAGCCCCGGGCUUGUGUUGGGGACCUGCGGCUGCCGCAGGCCCUGAAAACCAGUGGCGGGCUCGCUAGUCACUCCGAGCGUAGUAGUUUACACCUCGCUCAGGGCGUGCUGCGGGUUCCGGCCGUUAAAAGCCUUAUUUUACCCAAGGUUGACCUCGGAUCAGGUAGGAAGACCCGCUGAACUUAAGCAUAUCAAUAAGCGGAGGA